Molecule: transfer RNA, 61 nt
Filed under: Pheretima okutamaensis
Lineage: Eukaryota; Metazoa; Annelida; Clitellata; Crassiclitellata; Megascolecidae
Description: tRNA-Leu1
Source: RNAcentral
AGUGUGUUGGCAGAAUAGUGCAACUGAUUUAGGAUCUGUAUAUGGUAUAUACCACACACUA